UACCAACUGUGGGCUCACGGAAUGCCUU
RNAcentral lists this non-coding RNA (28 nucleotides) under Homo sapiens (human). The record is from RNAcentral. Lineage: Eukaryota; Metazoa; Chordata; Mammalia; Primates; Hominidae.